RNAcentral lists this unclassified non-coding RNA (279 nucleotides) under plant metagenome. RNAcentral's name for it is "partial contains small subunit ribosomal RNA, internal transcribed spacer 1, and 5.8S ribosomal RNA". The record is from RNAcentral.
UUUCCGUAGGUGAACCUGCGGAAGGAUCAUUAAAGUUAUAGUCGCCCGGACUUCUUGGCGGCGGUAUAUUAUCCACCCCUUUGCUUAUUACACCUUUGUUGCUUUGGCAUGACUCCCUUCGGGCUGCUGGCAUCGACCGGCUCUCAUUAGCCAGAGGAAACAGAUUACGAUUGAUCUUGUGGCUUGGGUACCAAUGAAUAGUUAAAACUUUCAACAGCGCACCCCUUGGUUCUGCCAUCGAUGAAAAACGCAGCAGAUCGGAUCAGCACACGUCAGAAA